This 497-nucleotide ribosomal RNA is filed under the name uncultured bacterium. RNAcentral's name for it is "partial 16S ribosomal RNA". It matches the Rfam family "Bacterial small subunit ribosomal RNA", at positions 28 to 507 of the family's 1533-position model. The record is from RNAcentral.
GAUGAACGCUGGCGGCGUGCCUAAUACAUGCAAGUCGAGCGACCGGACGAGAAGCUUGCUUCUCUGAUGUUAGCGGCGGACGGGUGAUUAACACGUGGAUAACCUACCUAUAAGACUGGGAUAACUUCGGGAAACCGUAGCUAAUACCGGAUAAUAUUUUGAACCGCAUGGUUCAAAAGUGAAAGACGGUUUUGCUGUCCCUUAUAGAUGGAUCCGCGCUGCAUUAGCUAGUUGGUAAGGUAACGGCUUACCAAGGCAACGAUGCAUAGCCGACCUGAGAGGGUGAUCGGCCACACUGGAACUGAGACACGGUCCAGACUCCUACGGGAGGCAGCAGUAGGGAAUCUUCCGCAAUGGGCGAAAGCCUGACGGAGCAACGCCGCGUGAGUGAUGAAGGUCUUCGGAUCGUAAAACUCUGUUAUUAGGGAAGAACAUAUGUGUAAGUAACUGUGCACAUCUUGACGGUACCUAAUCAGAAAGCCACGGCUAACUACGUG